RNAcentral lists this transfer RNA (58 nucleotides) under Pelodiscus sinensis (Chinese soft-shelled turtle). Lineage: Eukaryota; Metazoa; Chordata; Testudines; Trionychidae. The record is from Rfam by way of RNAcentral.
UAGCUCAGUGGUUUGAGCAUUGGAUUGCAAAACCCAGGGUUGCGAGUUCAAUCCUUGC